AGUGGGGAAUUUUGGACAAUGGGGGCAACCCUGAUCCAGCCAUUCCGCGUGAGUGAAGAAGGCCUUCGGGUUGUAAAGCUCUUUUGUCGGGGACGAAACGGUUUCACCUAAUACGUGAGACUACUGACGGUACCCGAAGAAUAAGCACCGGCUAACUACGUGCCAGCAGCCGCGGUAAUACGUAGGGUGCGAGCGUUAAUCGGAAUUACUGGGCGUAAAGCGUGCGCAGGCGGUUUUGUAAGCCAGAUGUGAAAUCCCCGGGCUCAACCUGGGAAUGGCAUUUGGGACUGCAAGGCUGGAGUAUGGCAGAGGGGACUAGAAUUCCUGGUGUAGCAGUGAAAUGCGUAGAUAUCAGGAGGAAUACCGAUGGCGAAGGCAGGUCCCUGGGCCAAUACUGACGCUCAUGCACGAAAGCGUGGGGAGCAAACAGGAUUAGAUACCCUGGUAGUCCACGCCCUAAACGAUGUCAACUGGUUGUUGGGGGAUUUAUUCUCUUAGUAACGAAGCUAACGCGUGAAGUUGACCGCCUGGGGAGUACGGUCGCAAGAUUAAAACU
Molecule: ribosomal RNA, 556 nt
Filed under: uncultured bacterium
Lineage: Bacteria
Description: bacterial SSU rRNA
Rfam family: Bacterial small subunit ribosomal RNA
Source: RNAcentral